This is a non-coding RNA of Lactarius quietus, 91 nucleotides long. Lineage: Eukaryota; Fungi; Basidiomycota; Agaricomycetes; Russulales; Russulaceae. The record is from the annotation of a GenBank genome assembly.
GCAUUGUUGGGGUAGUGGUAACCUGGGUCGUUGCCAUAAGAAAUAUGUCUUGACAUUCGACCCGCCCCGGGUUCAAUUCCCGGACAAUGCA